This 72-nucleotide transfer RNA is filed under the name Bacillus velezensis. RNAcentral's name for it is "tRNA-Ala". It matches the Rfam family "tRNA". From Rfam's summary of the family: Transfer RNA (tRNA) molecules are approximately 80 nucleotides in length. The record is from RNAcentral. Lineage: Bacteria; Bacillati; Bacillota; Bacilli; Caryophanales; Bacillaceae.
GGGCUAUAGCUCAGCUGGGAGAGCGCUACGCUGGCAGCGUAGAGGUCAGGGGUUCGAGCCCCCUUGGCUCCA